This 104-nucleotide small nuclear RNA is filed under the name Dasypus novemcinctus (nine-banded armadillo). The record is from RNAcentral. Lineage: Eukaryota; Metazoa; Chordata; Mammalia; Cingulata; Dasypodidae.
UUGCUUUGGCAGCACAUAUAUUAAAAAUUGGAAUGAUACAGAGAAUAUUAGCAUGGCCCCUGCGCAAGGAUGACACGCAAAUUUGUGAAGCAUUCCAUAUUUUU